GACGAACGCUGGCGGCGUGCUUAACACAUGCAAGUCGAACGAUGAUGCCCAGCUUGCUGGGUGGAUUAGUGGCGAACGGGUGAGUAACACGUGAGUAACCUGCCCCUGACUCUGGGAUAAGCGUUGGAAACGACGUCUAAUACUGGAUAUGACUGCCGGCCGCAUGGUCUGGUGGUGGAAAGAUUUUUUGGUUGGGGAUGGACUCGCGGCCUAUCAGCUUGUUGGUGAGGUAAUGGCUCACCAAGGCGACGACGGGUAGCCGGCCUGAGAGGGUGACCGGCCACACUGGGACUGGGACACGGCCCAGACUCCUACGGGAGGCAGCAGUGGGGAAUAUUGCACAAUGGGCGAAAGCCUGAUGCAGCAACGCCGCGUGAGGGAUGACGGCCUUCGGGUUGUAAACCUCUUUUAGUAGGGAAGAAGCGAAAGUGACGGUACCUGCAGAAAAAGCACCGGCUAACUACGUGCCAGCAGCCGCCGCCG
This 483-nucleotide ribosomal RNA is filed under the name uncultured bacterium. RNAcentral's name for it is "partial 16S ribosomal RNA". It matches the Rfam family "Bacterial small subunit ribosomal RNA", at positions 28 to 523 of the family's 1533-position model. The record is from RNAcentral.